GGACUACCCGGGUUUCUAAUCCUGUUUGCUCCCCACGCUUUCGCACCUCAGCGUCAAUACUUGUCCAGUCAGUCGCCUUCGCCACUGGUGUUCUUCCGAAUAUCUACGAAUUUCACCUCUACACUCGGAAUUCCACUGACCUCUCCAAGAUUCUAGCUACCUAGUUUCGAAGGCAGUUCCGGGGUUGAGCCCCGGGCUUUCACCCCCGACUUGAAUAGCCGCCUACGUGCGCUUUACGCCCAGUAAUUCCGAACAACGCUAGCUCCCUCCGUAUUACCGCGGCGGCUGGCAC
RNAcentral lists this ribosomal RNA (292 nucleotides) under uncultured bacterium. RNAcentral's name for it is "partial 16S ribosomal RNA". The record is from RNAcentral.